UACAGAGGGUGCAAGCGUUAAUCGGAAUUACUGGGCGUAAAGCGCGCGUAGGUGGUUUGGUAAGUCGGAUGUGAAAUCCCCGGGCUUAACCUGGGAACUGCAUUUGUGACUGCAAGGCUAGAGUGUAGCAGAGGGGGGUAGAAUUCCACGUGUAGCAGUGAAAUGCGUAGAUAUGUGGAGGAAUACCGAUGGCGAAGGCAGCCCCCUGGGCUAACACUGACGCUCAUGCACGAAAGCGUGGGGAGCAAACAGG
Molecule: ribosomal RNA, 253 nt
Filed under: uncultured bacterium
Lineage: Bacteria
Description: partial 16S ribosomal RNA
Rfam family: Bacterial small subunit ribosomal RNA
Source: RNAcentral